CGGCGAGUAGCGCAGCUUGGUAGCGCAACUGGUUUGGGACCAGUGGGUCGGAGGUUCGAAUCRUCUCUCGCCGACCA
This 77-nucleotide transfer RNA is filed under the name Pantoea sp. BRM17. RNAcentral describes it as "tRNA-Pro". It matches the Rfam family "tRNA". Rfam says of the family: Transfer RNA (tRNA) molecules are approximately 80 nucleotides in length. Lineage: Bacteria; Pseudomonadati; Pseudomonadota; Gammaproteobacteria; Enterobacterales; Erwiniaceae. The record is from RNAcentral.